RNAcentral lists this ribosomal RNA (549 nucleotides) under Neochelon falcipinnis (sicklefin mullet). Its description in RNAcentral is "partial 16S ribosomal RNA". It matches the Rfam family "Bacterial large subunit ribosomal RNA", at positions 1851 to 2597 of the family's 2925-position model. Lineage: Eukaryota; Metazoa; Chordata; Actinopteri; Mugiliformes; Mugilidae. The record is from RNAcentral.
GGUCCCGCCUGCCCUGUGACCCCUGGUUUAACGGCCGCGGUAUUUUGACCGCGCGAAGGUAGCGCAAUCACUUGUCCUUUAAAUGGGGACCUGUAUGAAUGGCAUAACGAGGGCUUAACUGUCUCCUUUCCCCGGUUAAUGAAAUUGAUCUUCCCGUGCAGAAGCGGGAAUCCUAACAUAAGACGAGAAGACCCUAUGGAGCUUUAGACCUUAGAGCAGAUCAUGUUUUGUUAUCCCAUUAAGCAAGUAAUAACUAUUGAACCCCUGUUCUACUGUCUUUGGUUGGGGCGACCACGGGGAAGAAAAAAACCCCCACGUGGACUGGGAGCACACUACUCCUUCAACUACGAGCCACAGCUCUAAUGCGCAGAAUCUCUGACCAUAAGAUCCGGCAAAGCCGAUCAACGGACCGAGUUACCCUAGGGAUAACAGCGCAAUCCCCUUUAAGAGUCCAUAUCGACAAGGGGGUUUACGACCUCGAUGUUGGAUCAAGACAUCCUAAUGGUGCAGCCGCUAUUAAGGGUUCGUUUGUUCAACGAUUAAAGUCUU